This 347-nucleotide ribosomal RNA is filed under the name Hoplisoma ehrhardti. Its description in RNAcentral is "Corydoras ehrhardti partial 12S ribosomal RNA". It matches the Rfam family "Bacterial small subunit ribosomal RNA", at positions 870 to 1384 of the family's 1533-position model. The record is from RNAcentral. RNAcentral also lists the same sequence under 2 other names. Lineage: Eukaryota; Metazoa; Chordata; Actinopteri; Siluriformes; Callichthyidae.
CGCCAGGGUACUACGAGCAUAGCUUAAAACCCAAAGGACUUGGCGGUGUCUCAGACCCACCUAGAGGAGCCUGUUCUAGAACCGAUAAUCCCCGUUAAACCUCACCACUUCUUGUUAAUCCCGCCUAUAUACCGCCGUCGCCAGCUUACCCCAUGAGGGUUAAACAGUAAGCAAAAUGGACAAACCCCAGAACGUCAGGUCGAGGUGUAGCGCACGAAGUGGGAAGAAAUGGGCUACAUUUUCUAUAACAGAAAAUAACGAAUGGUCUACUGAAACACAUACCUGAAGGAGGAUUUAGCAGUAAAAAGCAAAUAGAGAGUCCUUUUGAAUCAGGCUCUGAGACACGC